Acanthosepion pharaonis is the source of this 114-nucleotide non-coding RNA. The record is from the annotation of a GenBank genome assembly. Lineage: Eukaryota; Metazoa; Mollusca; Cephalopoda; Sepiida; Sepiidae.
CUGCAGCCACAUCAUUUUGGAAGACCGGUUCUCAUAAAAUCCUCGUAGUUAAGCAACGUCAAGCCUGCUCACUACCUAGAUGGGUGACCACUUGGGAAUGUGAGAUGCUGCAUG